AGACUCUAGAUACAAAUAGAUAUUGCAUAGCAGUUAGAAGGCUUCACAAAUCUUUUAAAUACAAUUUCACAGUUUUUAACUACUACACCGAAUUCAUCUUUCUUUUGCUAAAAAUAUGAAUUACAAUUGAAAUAUAUAAUGAUUCAAAUCAUGAAAGGUAAGAAGCAUGGACUAAUCGUGCGCUGGCUAAAGCACCAUCUUCCUCUUCCCUCUCUGGGUAAGAGGAAGGCCACCGUCCCAGCCAGCAGUGAUUAAAGUCACCACAAACCAACACCAACGCGACUGGUUUUCACAUUUCUAAAGGACUGUUCUGGAUCUUGAGAAGCAUCCAGGGACCUUUCCGAUCUUGAAUUUGGAGAUGGAGUGGAUCUUCAAACAAACCAACACAUUAAGAAACAAACGAAAAAAGAGAUGAACUUAACAAACAGCAGUGUGUUUCAUGUAUGUCUCUCUCACCCAAACUGGAUUAUUCACCAGCAUCCUCAGAUGCCUCGUCUCUGUGCCGUGAGGCAUGGCCCAGCCACCUACUUGCCUUUCCCUGGGAUAAAACCUACAACCAUCCAGCCCCCACCUCGGCUGUCCUUCCUCUCGUCUUCUCCAAGGCCCAAUGAGCACAGUUUGUAUCAUUCUUGAUCUCUUCAGGGCAGGGACCAUUCUCUCACUCACCCUUGCACUGUCCUACAAAUUUGCCCCACUCAAAAGAGGCCCUUGGCUAUUAUUUAUCCUUUCGAUAAACAUUACCCACUAAGGCAAGUGCCAGAUUGACAAGGUCCCAGCCCUCACCAAGUAGAAUCAGGCUUCUAGGCCCCUCAUGGACUCCCACUGGAUUGUUCCCUGCCUUGCUCGGGGGCUGACCAAAGCCAGACUUUCAGACUACAUUUCUAAAGCCCUGUGUAUGGUGAUGGGAGAUCAUCAGCAGAGCUCAUCAAAAACUAUAUGUACCACAGGCUGGAAAUAUCAGCAGGCUCAAAGGUGAAUACUAAUUUGCGUCAUUCCGUCAAAUCAGUAACCUCUUCUGAUCUGCCCUGUGUCGUAAUGACGUCAUUAACCCCUGUAUGCAUGGUUUCUCCCACCAAGAUGACAACGCUCAGAGACCAUGAUGCUCCUUACAGGAUCAGCUCAAAUGGAUGGUCACCAGCAAGCAGCCCCUGGGGACACUGCAGACCUGAUGAUCCAUCUUAAGGACUCGCUCUGACAAGGGUAGUGCUUGCUCAUUUCAGAACACCGGGAAAAUGCAGAGCGAAGUAAAAAGCAGACACAUCCUCAUAGUUCUGAACGUGUGUGCACACGUAUUCACAGAGACACACGCUGAGCUGUCCGUGUGCAUUAAGGAUAUGUUCCAGAUCCUCGAGAGGUCACAGGUGAGACAAUUCAAUGGCUCGUAAUCUGGGAUGCCCUCAUUCCACAUUCAAGGAGGAAUGUUUAUAUAGUCCAGCCUAGAGAAGUGGAAUGAAAACCGCAUCUUCCCUAACUAGCCCUGGGAUCAGGAACCCCGUGGCUGAGGUAGAGCUGGACCUUGUGAGGAUGCAGCCCUCUCGGGACAGGUGCGCCCACCUUCCUUCACAUCCCCAGAUGAGCCUCAGGCCAGGAUCAGUGCACAUACGCCCACCUACGAACUACCACGGGUCAUCAGGGAGACCUUUUUAACUUUUGAACCAAUUCUAUUUUACAAUCUAAACAACCACAAGUCCCAUUAUUAUUUUUUAAUAGAAAACUUUUCUAAAAAAAUAAAAAACUUGUGUUAAUAAUAUCACUGUAAUGCCUCAAUUGCCAGCUGGUCGCUAAUAUAAAGACAUACAUGUGUGAGAAAAACCCAACUUCUCCAGAAAACAAAGCCAAGCAAGUCCCCGAGGGCCCUUCUGGGAGCAGCCCUUGCCUGGGACCCGCACAGAUCAGGCUCUAAGCAGCUGUUGCCCCCUAAGGCUGGUUUCACCAGUGGCUAGAACCUAAAAGCACAGAGACUGAUGUCUCUCUCGCCCCACUUGCCGUGGAUGGACAGCCUGCAGCUCCCCAACUGACCUUU
This is a long non-coding RNA of Loxodonta africana (African savanna elephant), 2023 nucleotides long. RefSeq lists it as uncharacterized. NCBI's taxonomy places the organism in Eukaryota, Metazoa, Chordata, Mammalia, Proboscidea, Elephantidae. The record is from RefSeq and is a predicted model, not a curated record. The transcript has 3 exons.